This 492-nucleotide ribosomal RNA is filed under the name uncultured bacterium. RNAcentral's name for it is "partial 16S ribosomal RNA". It matches the Rfam family "Bacterial small subunit ribosomal RNA", at positions 29 to 507 of the family's 1533-position model. The record is from RNAcentral.
AGUGAACGCUGGCGGUAGGCCUAACACAUGCAAGUCGAACGGCAGCACAGUAAAAGCUUGCUCUUACGGGUGGCGAGUGGCGGACGGGUGAGGAAUACAUCGGAAUCUACUUUUUCGUGGGGGAUAACGUAGGGAAACUUACGCUAAUACCGCAUACGACCUACGGGUGAAAGCAGGGGAUCUUCGGACCUUGCGCGAUUGUAUGAGCCGAUGUCGGAUUAGCUAGUUGGCGGGGUAAAGGCCCACCAAGGCGACGAUCCGUAGCUGGUCUGAGAGGAUGAUCAGCCACACUGGAACUGAGACACGGUCCAGACUCCUACGGGAGGCAGCAGUGGGGAAUAUUGGACAAUGGGCGCAAGCCUGAUCCAGCCAUACCGCGUGGGUGAAGAAGGCCUUCGGGUUGUAAAGCCCUUUUGUUGGGAAAGAAAAGCAGCAGGUUAAUACCCCGCUGUUCUGACGGUACCCAAAGAAUAAGCACCGGCUAACUUCGUG